AUUUAAAUAGCUUAUAAUUAGAGCGUGACAUUGAAGAUGUUAAUGAGAUUAUAGAAUCUUUGAAUA
RNAcentral lists this transfer RNA (66 nucleotides) under Tipula flavolineata. RNAcentral's name for it is "tRNA-Phe". Lineage: Eukaryota; Metazoa; Arthropoda; Insecta; Diptera; Tipulidae. The record is from RNAcentral.